UGGCGAACGGGUGAGUAACACGUGGGUGAUCUGCCCUGCACUCUGGGAUAAGCCUGGGAAACUAGGUCUAAUACCGGAUAGGACCAUGCUUUAGUGUGUGUGGUGGAAAGUUUUUUCGGUGUAGGAUGAGCCCGCGGCCUAUCAGCUUGUUGGUGGGGUAAUGGCCUACCAAGGCGGCGACGGGUAGCCGGACUGAGAGGUUGGUCGGCCACAUUGGGACUGAGAUACGGCCCAG
Molecule: ribosomal RNA, 235 nt
Filed under: uncultured Actinomycetales bacterium
Lineage: Bacteria; Bacillati; Actinomycetota; Actinomycetes; Actinomycetales
Description: partial 16S ribosomal RNA
Rfam family: Bacterial small subunit ribosomal RNA
Source: RNAcentral